GAACGAGAAAGCUCCUUCGGGGGUGAGUAGAGUGGCGCACGGGUGAGUAACGCGUGGGUAAUCUGCCCAGGAGUCUGGGAUAACUGUGCGAAAGCGCAGCUAAUACCGGAUGGUCGAGCUAUUUAUAGAUAGUUUGUAAAGGUUGCCUCUAAACUACGCAAUCGCUUUUGGAUGAGCCCGCGUCUCAUUAGCUUGUUGGUAGGGUAACGGCCUACCAAGGCAACGAUGAGUAGCUGGUCUGAGAGGAUGAUCAGCCACACUGGAACUGAAACACGGUCCAGACUCCUACGGGAGGCAGCAGUGGGGAAUAUUGCGCAAUGGGCGAAAGCCUGACGCAGCAACGCCGUGUGGGGGAAGAAGGUCUUCGGAUUGUAAACCUCUGUCAGGAGAGAAGAAAUAGUAGUUGUCCAAUAGGCGACUAUUUUGACGGUACCUCCAGAGGGAGCACCGGCUAACUCCGUGCCAGCAGCCGCGGUAAUACGGAGGGUGCAAGCGUUAUUCGGAAUUACUGGGCGUAAAGCGUACGUAGGCUGUCUGGUAAGUCAGGUGUGAAAGCCCACGGCUCAACCGUGGAAUUGCACUUGAAACUGCUGGACUGGAAUCCGGGAGAGGGUGGCGGAAUUCCUGGUGUAGGAGUGAAAUCCGUAGAUAUCAGGAGGAACACCGGUGGCGAAGGCGGGCACCUGGUCCGGUAUUGACGCUGAGGUACGAAAGCGUGGGUAGCAAACAGGAUUAGAUACCCUGGUAGUCCACGCCGUAAACGAUGGAUGCUAGGUGUCGGGGGUAACUUCGGUGCCGUAGUUAACGCGUUUAAGCAUCCCGCCUGGUGAGUACGGUCGCAAGGCUGAAACUCAAAGAAAUUGACGGGGGCCCGCACAAGCGCUGGAGUAUGUGGUUCAAUUCGAUGCAACGCGAAGAACCUUACCCAGGCUUGACAUCCCGCAAAUCUUCACAGAGAUGUGAGAGUGCUCUUCGGAGAAUGCGGAGACAGGUGCUGCAUGGCUGUCGUCAGCUCGUGCUGUGAAGUGUUGGGUUAAGUCCCGCAACGAGCGCAACCCCUAUGGUCAGUUGCCAGCAGGUAAUGCUGGGCACUCCGGCCAGACUGCCCGGGUUAACCGGGAGGAAGGUGGGGACGACGUCAAGUCAUCAUGGCCCUUACGCCUGGGGCUACACACGUACUACAAUGGUGGGUACAAAGGGCAGCGAAACUGUGAGGUAGAGCCAAUCCCAAAAAACCCAUCGUAGUCCGGAUUGCAGUCUGCAACUCGACUGCAUGAAGUUGGAAUCGCUAGUAAUCCCGGAUCAGCAUGCCGGGGUGAUACGUUCCCGGGCCUUGUACACACCGCCCGUCACACCACGAAAGUCGGUUCUACCCGAAGCCGCCGGGCUAACUUUUAGAGGCAGGCGUCGACGGUAGGGCUGGUAAUUGGGG
Molecule: ribosomal RNA, 1432 nt
Filed under: uncultured organism
Description: bacterial SSU rRNA
Rfam family: Bacterial small subunit ribosomal RNA
Source: RNAcentral